CUCCACCCGCCUGCCCGCCCAUCUGUCACUCGUCCGUGCGCCCAUUCUUCCACCCCUUCUGUGACGUCUGGUGACUCGACUGUGCCCUGAGGAGACAUGGUUGGCUGUUAAAGAGAAUGCACCUCCACCACACAGCCAAGGGAUGCCUCGGGACUCACCUCCACGGCCGGCACCUUCCCAUUCACACCACACCAGACUAGCUGGAGAGGAGCGGGGCAGACCUCUGCCAACGCCCACUUUACACAGGAAAGAGCUGAGGGCUAGAGAGGGGCAGCAGAAAGGCUUGUGUGGAAAAACCCUGUGGUUUCAACUGCCUGCAUAUCAGUGCAGGAUCUGAGGCUCUAACAACAGGAGAAUAACAUCUUCAACAAGGAAGGGCACCUUCUCCAGGAUCUCCCAGGAGGAUUUCAGCCCUACGCGGUUUUGCCUGACACCUGCCUUUGGCCCUGAGUGGAGGCACCACCCUGCUUGAGCAGUGGCCCUUGG
Molecule: long non-coding RNA, 486 nt
Filed under: Equus asinus (donkey)
Lineage: Eukaryota; Metazoa; Chordata; Mammalia; Perissodactyla; Equidae
Description: lncRNA (ENSEASG00005024550.1)
Source: RNAcentral